UACGUAGGGUGCAAGCGUUGUCCGGAUUUAUUGGGCGUAAAGAGCGUGUAGGCGGCCAAGCAGGUCAGCUGUGAAAACUCGAGGCUCAACCUCGAGACGUCGGUUGAAACCGCUUGGCUAGAGUCCGGAAGAGGAGAGUGGAAUUCCCGGUGUAGCGGUGAAAUGCGCAGAUAUCGGGAAGAACACCCGUGGCGAAGGCGGCUCUCUGGGACGGUACUGACGCUGAGACGCGAAAGCGUGGGGAGCAAACAGG
This 253-nucleotide ribosomal RNA is filed under the name uncultured bacterium. Its description in RNAcentral is "partial 16S ribosomal RNA". It matches the Rfam family "Bacterial small subunit ribosomal RNA", at positions 524 to 776 of the family's 1533-position model. The record is from RNAcentral.